GAUGAACGCUGGCGGCGUGCCUAAUACAUGCAAGUCGAGCGAACAGACGAGGAGCUUGCUCCUUCGACGUUAGCGGCGGACGGGUGAGUAACACGUAGGUAACCUACCUAUAAGACUGGGAUAACUUCGGGAAACCGGCGCUAAUCCCGGAUAAUAUUUCGAACCGCAUGGUUCGAUAGUGAAAGAUGGCUUUGCUAUCACUUAUCGAUGGACCUGCGCCGUAUUAGCUAGUUGGUAAGGUAACGGCUUACCAAGGCAACGAUACGUAGCCGACCUGAGAGGGUGAUCGGCCACACUGGAACUGAGACACGGUCCAGACUCCUACGGGAGGCAGCAGUAGGGAAUCUUCCGCAAUGGGCGAAAGCCUGACGGAGCAACGCCGCGUGAGUGAUGAAGGUCUUCGGAUCGUAAAACUCUGUUAUUAGGGAAGAACAAACGUGUAAGUAACUGUGCACGGCUUGACGGUACCUAAUCAGAAAGCCACGGCUAACUACGUG
This 497-nucleotide ribosomal RNA is filed under the name uncultured bacterium. RNAcentral's name for it is "partial 16S ribosomal RNA". It matches the Rfam family "Bacterial small subunit ribosomal RNA", at positions 28 to 507 of the family's 1533-position model. The record is from RNAcentral.